Camelina sativa (false flax) is the source of this 1428-nucleotide long non-coding RNA. RefSeq lists it as uncharacterized. The record is from RefSeq and is a predicted model, not a curated record. Lineage: Eukaryota; Viridiplantae; Streptophyta; Magnoliopsida; Brassicales; Brassicaceae.
ACCAAAUGUUCAAGGUUAUACAAUGAGAGAGCUCUCUUUCUUCUUCGGAAUGAUCUUUCUCUUUCUUUUGUUUUCAGUUCUUCUUAUUCUUCAAUUUUUGAAAGGUUUUAACCAAAAUUAGACACUUUUAAUCAUUAUUCGAAAAAUCAUUCCUUUUGAUUUACUCAAUACUCAUUUUUGCAAAUUUCAUUCCUUUCUUUCUUAAUGGUUUCCUGGGAGCUUCGAACCCUUAGUUUAUGUUCUUCUAUGCAUGUAACUGAAUCGGAGAUUAGUAACAUUUUGCUUAAUUUGUGUUGAAAUAAUUAUUGAAUUGGAUGAUUGAAACAAGUUCAAGCUUUUAAAUUUUUGUGAAUGUGUUCUGAAUUCUGAUCCGCAGGUUGUGUGGUAUCCAGAAUUGAAUUUGGUUGUUCAAGAUUGUGAAGGAUUUGCUGAAUACUUUUCCUUCAGUUCUGAAAAACAGAUCCCUGCUACAACCAUAAUAAGUGGUUCAGCUACAAAGAAAACAGGAGGUUCAGUUACAAAGAAAACAGUCGUCGACCUGUCACCUUUCGCAGCUAGCUUUCCAUAUAUUCCUGGCCUGAAAGAGCUAAACUAGUCAACUUAAACAUGCCAAAAUUUGUCAGAUGGGAUUGGCCACUUGGAAUUCUUAGAAUAACUGGACUUGAGCGGAAAUGAUUCUGAGAGCUUACCAGAAGAUAUGAAUAGAAUUUCCCGGUUGAAAACUCUAUGGCUCCAGCAAACUCAAGGAAUUGACAGAGCUAACUCAGGUGCAGUCACUCACUCUUUCCAAAUGUAGGAACCUCAGAUCAUUGGUGAAUCCCUCUGAUGCCUUGACAAUUGCAAGAACGUGAUGUCAUUAUUAGACCAGCUAAGUCAUUUCACCAAGUUAGAUCUCAGCAGCUAUUAAAGCAUUAGAGAUCUUACCUCAUUGGUAACUCUCUGCCUCAAUAACUGCAAGAAACUCAAAUCGGGGUGAAAGAAAUGCCACUGAGCCUUCAGUUUCUCGAUGCACGCACAUGGCUGUGAUUCUCUUGAAGCUGAUGCUUUAGAACAUUUCAGAGGGAGACUUAACAAAGAGGUACCGCGUAAUGCCUGCUUCCAAGAUAAUGAGAUUAAGAGGAUCACCAAGCCAUAAAGAGUCGCCUGGCCAAGUUCCUACACUGCUCAUAUUUGUGUGCCAUGCUUAUGAAUGUUCUUCUCAUUAUGAUCCUGUGUGAACAGCUACGUUGAUGACUUUUCAUGGCCUUUCGAAUGAAGUAAGUAAGAGUGUUCAAGCAAACCAUUUAUUUCAGUUUUAAUUUCAGCUGUAUCUGUGUUCUUAUUGUAUCUUUGAAAGCGAGAGAGAAACUUUGUGAAAUAGAGAUCAUUUAGUGUAAGUUAUUUUACUAAAUGAUCUAGUGUAAUGAAGCUGUUCACGAAACAGUAGAA